Molecule: ribosomal RNA, 253 nt
Filed under: uncultured bacterium
Lineage: Bacteria
Description: partial 16S ribosomal RNA
Rfam family: Bacterial small subunit ribosomal RNA
Source: RNAcentral
UACGGGGGGUGCGAGCGUUAAUCGGAAUAACUGGGCGUAAAGGGCACGCAGGCGGACUGUUAAGUGAGAUGUGAAAGCCCCGGGCUUAACCUGGGAAUUGCAUUUCAGACUGGGAGUCUAGAGUACUUUAGGGAGGGGUAGAAUUCCACGUGUAGCGGUGAAAUGCGUAGAGAUGUGGAGGAAUACCGAAGGCGAAGGCAGCCCCUUGGGAAUGUACUGACGCUCAUGUGCGAAAGCGUGGGGAGCAAACAGG